AUUUUCAACGUUUCCUCGACAAUCAGAACUGCUUACAAAAAAUCUAUCCCUAAUUUUACUCAACUAACAGCUCCAUGUUCAAGGUGGUUUACAACCGAUCCAUCUUCUAUAUGAAUCCAAUUUGAGUUCAUUCUCUCUUCCAUUUUCUCUGUAUUUAUCUCCUCUUCAUUGUUUUUUGCUUCUGGAUUUGCAAUUCUCACGCUGUUUCAGGUUGAAGAUGCCUCUGGAUUUUACUCCUAUCUCAGAUCUAAAUUCUUUAAAAAGAUAAUCGAAGAUCAGAGUUCUAACAGCCAGGAUAUACUGUCUCAGGGGAUUUCCAAAAAGGAUAAACUAGAAGAAUUUUCAAGAAUUGAAUCUUCUCCUUGUCGAUGAAAAAGAAAGUAGGAUACAAUCCAAAACUUAACAGUGCUCUCUCUCUCGACGCAAUCAUAACUGUGUUACAAUUAUAUGAGCUAUUUUCUGAUUGGAGAUUAUGUUGUUUCACACGGUGACGAGUUGGGAUAAUGUUUCCACGCUUCUUGGCCUUUUACGUUGAGUGAGGUUCUCACAAUACGCUUCAUUUCUCAGAGUACAAAAAAUUGGUUACCUGAGUUUUUCAUUCUUAAACGAUGUAACACAUCUUUGUGUCUAUAUGUCACCACUCUCUUAUAAGUUACAUGAUUAUUUUGUUUGACAUCUAAUGUAAAUUCAUAUCCACAUUCUCCUUCUAAGUUUUGAUUGCAACUUCCUUACCAUUCUUUUUCUCUUCAAACAGACGAUGGUUGGCGACGAUGUAAGUUUUUUACUUGCA
Molecule: long non-coding RNA, 790 nt
Organism: Camelina sativa (false flax)
Lineage: Eukaryota; Viridiplantae; Streptophyta; Magnoliopsida; Brassicales; Brassicaceae
Source: RefSeq, a predicted model, not a curated record